Pelobates cultripes (western spadefoot toad) is the source of this 167-nucleotide non-coding RNA. NCBI's taxonomy places the organism in Eukaryota, Metazoa, Chordata, Amphibia, Anura, Pelobatidae. The record is from the annotation of a GenBank genome assembly.
GGACAGCUGACACAUCCCUGCCAAUCUCCGGCAGACCCUCCCUCCCAGACCCUCCUACUUCCUGGACAGCAUCCAUGUUGAAGGCAGCUUCAACAUGGAUGCUGUCCAGGAGGUGGGAGGGUCUGGGAGGGAGGGUCUGCCGGAGAUUGGCAGGGAUGUGUCAGCUG